UACGGGGGGGGCAAGCGUUGUUCGGAAUUACUGGGCGUAAAGGCUCGUAGGCGCCAACUAAGUCGGAUGUGAAAUCCCCAAGCUUAACUUGGGAACUGCAUCCGAUACUGGAUGGCUUGAAUCCGGGAGAGGGAUGCAGAAUUCCAGGUGUAGCGGUGAAAUGCGUAGAUAUCUGGAGGAAUACCGGUGGCGAAGGCGGCAUCCUGGACCGGCAUUGACGCUGAGGAGCGAAAGCUAGGGGAGCAAACGGG
RNAcentral lists this ribosomal RNA (251 nucleotides) under uncultured bacterium. RNAcentral describes it as "partial 16S ribosomal RNA". It matches the Rfam family "Bacterial small subunit ribosomal RNA", at positions 524 to 776 of the family's 1533-position model. The record is from RNAcentral.